RNAcentral lists this ribosomal RNA (476 nucleotides) under uncultured organism. RNAcentral's name for it is "partial 16S ribosomal RNA". It matches the Rfam family "Bacterial small subunit ribosomal RNA", at positions 334 to 801 of the family's 1533-position model. The record is from RNAcentral.
CACUCCUACGGGAGGCAGCAGUGGGGAAUUUUGGACAAUGGGCGAAAGCCUGAUCCAGCAAUGCCGCGUGAGUGAAGAAGGCCUUCGGGUUGUAAAGCUCUUUUGUCAGGGAAGAAACGGUGAAAGCUAAUAUCUUUUGCUAAUGACGGUACCUGAAGAAUAAGCACCGGCUAACUACGUGCCAGCAGCCGCGGUAAUACGUAGGGUGCAAGCGUUAAUCGGAAUUACUGGGCGUAAAGCGUGCGCAGGCGGUUUUGUAAGUCUGAUGUGAAAUCCCCGGGCUCAACCUGGGAAUUGCAUUGGAGACUGCAAGGCUAGAAUCUGGCAGAGGGGGGUAGAAUUCCACGUGUAGCAGUGAAAUGCGUAGAUAUGUGGAGGAACACCGAUGGCGAAGGCAGCCCCCUGGGUCAAGAUUGACGCUCAUGCACGAAAGCGUGGGGAGCAAACAGGAUUAGAUACCCCUGUAGUCCCAUGAU